This 69-nucleotide transfer RNA is filed under the name Polymixia lowei (beardfish). Its description in RNAcentral is "tRNA-Ser (AGY)". Lineage: Eukaryota; Metazoa; Chordata; Actinopteri; Polymixiiformes; Polymixiidae. The record is from RNAcentral.
GAGAGAGGCCCGAUGGCAGCGAGGACUGCUAAUCUUCCGCCCCCUUGGUUAAACUCCAAGGCUCACUCG